CAGUAACGGCGAGUGAAGCGGCAACAGCUCAAAUUUGAAAUCGGGCUCUCGUCCGAGUUGUAAUUUGCAGAGGGUGCUUCGGGUGCGACGCCGGUCUAAGUUCCUUGGAACAGGACGUCAUAGAGGGUGAGAAUCCCGUAUGUGACUGGCGAUCAACCCCGUGCGAAGCCCCUUCGACGAGUCGAGUUGUUUGGGAAUGCAGCUCUAAACGGGUGGUAAAUUUCAUCUAAAGCUAAAUACCGGCCAGAGACCGAUAGCGCACAAGUAGAGUGAUCGAAAGAUGAAAAGCACUUUGGAAAGAGAGUUAAAAAGUACGUGAAAUUGUUGAAAGGGAAGCGCUUGCAACCAGACUUGCACGCGGGCGAUCAGCCGUCCCUCUGGGCCGGUGCACUCGUUUGCGUUCAGGCCAGCAUCGAUUUCGGCGGUCGGAUAAAGGCCUCGGGAACGUAGCACCCUUCGGGGUGUGUUAUAGCCCGAGGUGCCAUGCGGCCAGCUGGGAUCGAGGCCCGCGCUUCGUGCUAGGAUGCUGGCGUAAUGGUUGCAAGCGACCCGUCUUGAAACACGGACCAAGGAGUCAAACAGUCAUGCGAGUGUUUGGGCGUCAAACCCAUGCGCGUAAUGAAAGUGAACGGAGGUGAGAUCCCGCAAGGGCGCAUCAUCGACCGAUCCUGAUGUCUUCGGAUGGAUUUGAGUAAGAGCAAGACUGAUUGGACCCGAAAGAUGGUGAACUAUGCCUGAAUAGGGUGAA
Molecule: ribosomal RNA, 748 nt
Filed under: Phaeopyxis punctum
Lineage: Eukaryota; Fungi; Ascomycota; Lecanoromycetes
Description: eukaryotic LSU rRNA
Rfam family: Eukaryotic large subunit ribosomal RNA
Source: RNAcentral